CGGGGCGUGGCGCAGCUUGGUAGCGCGCUACAAUGGGGUUGUAGAGGUCGUGGGUUCGAAUCCCGCCGCCCCGA
This 74-nucleotide transfer RNA is filed under the name Chloroflexota bacterium. RNAcentral's name for it is "Chloroflexi bacterium tRNA-Pro". It matches the Rfam family "tRNA". From Rfam's summary of the family: Transfer RNA (tRNA) molecules are approximately 80 nucleotides in length. Lineage: Bacteria; Bacillati; Chloroflexota. The record is from RNAcentral.